GGGCACUUGGUCUAGGGGUAUGAUGUGAGUUUCACCCACCUGACCUACCGCUUGUUCAAUGCUUAUUUGUUAGUUUCGCUUCGCAUCAACUCAUAGUGUGAUUGUGAAAGGUCGUGGGUUCAAUUCCCACAGUGUCCA
Cenococcum geophilum 1.58 is the source of this 138-nucleotide non-coding RNA. NCBI's taxonomy places the organism in Eukaryota, Fungi, Ascomycota, Dothideomycetes, Gloniales, Gloniaceae. The record is from the annotation of a GenBank genome assembly.